Molecule: long non-coding RNA, 611 nt
Filed under: Nicotiana tabacum (common tobacco)
Lineage: Eukaryota; Viridiplantae; Streptophyta; Magnoliopsida; Solanales; Solanaceae
Description: long non-coding RNA (NTAB_LNC004293)
Source: RNAcentral
CAAUUUAGGUUUUAAAACCCUAAUGCUGACUGAAAGAAAAAGUUCAGUUUAGGGUUUAAAACCCUAAUGCUGACUGAAAGAAAAAGUUCAGUUUAGGGUUUAAAACCCUAAUGCUGAUUACAUGGAAAAGCUCAAUUUAGGGUUUAAAACCCUAAUGAUGACUAAAAGGUAAAUUCAGUUUAGGGUUUAAAACCCUAAUGCUGAUUACAUGGAAAAGCUCAGUUUAGGGUUUAAAACCCUAAUGCUGACUAAAAGGAAAAUUCAAUUUAGGGUUUAAAACCCUAAUGCUGAUUGCAUGGAAAAGCUCAGUUUAGGGUUUAAAACCCUAAUGCUGGCUGAAAGGAAAAAGUUCAGUUUAGGGUUUAAAACCCUAAUGCUGACUAAAGGAAAAAUUUAGUUUAGGGUUUAAAACCCUAAUGCUGACUAAAAGGAAAAUUCAGUUUAGGGUUUAAAACACUAGUGUUGAUUGCAUGGAAAAGCUCAGUUUAGGGUUUAAAACCCUAAUGCUGGCUGAAAGGAAAAAGUUUAGUUUAGGGUUUAAAACCCUAAUGCUGACUAAAAGGAAAAGUUCAGUUUAGGUUUUAAAACCCUAAUGCUGACUGAAAGAAAAA